ACCAGACUCCUACGGGAGGCAGCAGUCGGGAAUAUUGCACAAUGGAGGAAACUCUGAUGCAGUGACGCCGCGUGCAGGAAGAAGGUUUUCGGAUUGUAAACUGCUUUAGAUAGGGAAGAUAAAAGACUGUACCUAUAGAAUAAGCUCCGGCUAACUACGUGCCAGCAGCCGCGGUAAUACGUAGGGAGCAAGCGUUAUCCGGAUUUAUUGGGUGUAAAGGGUGCGUAGACGGGCUAACAAGUUAGUUGUGAAAUCCCUCGGCUCAACUGAGGAACUGCAACUAAAACUAUUAGUCUUGAGUGCGGGAGAGGAAAGUGGAAUUCCUAGUGUAGCGGUGAAAUGCGUAGAUAUUAGGAGGAACACCAGUGGCGAAGGCGACUUUCUGGACCGUAACUGACGUUGAGGCACGAAAGUGUGGGGAGCAAACAGGAUUAGAUACCCGUGUA
Molecule: ribosomal RNA, 446 nt
Filed under: uncultured bacterium
Lineage: Bacteria
Description: bacterial SSU rRNA
Rfam family: Bacterial small subunit ribosomal RNA
Source: RNAcentral